AGAAGAUGGCUUUGAUAGGGCAUGCAACCUAACACGAUAUAGAUCUCAAGAAGAUGCAGUAACAGCAGGCUGGAUUGGGUUAAAUGCAACCUGCUCGGCACAAGUUAACACUUUAUGAGGCCCUGCCUCGUCUCGACCGACACCCAUAAGGUCCAGGUAGUACUGGUAAUGUGAAACGAUGUUGUUCAUGGCAUCAAUGUCACCCUUGCCACAAACUGAUUCCCCAUAAAGAAUAUUCAUUGUAGUGCCAAAUCCAGGAAACCGCUUACUCAAGGUAUCGUUCUUGGUAGGCUUCCAGUCUCCAACAAAUGCUUGGUGGGCCGAGGGUUGUGACUUCUUGAUAGGGGUCAUCCACCUCCAUACUGCAGCUUGGAAAGCAAGAGUAGCGUUCUGCUCAAUGUAUUCUGGAUGGUUCAACAGAUCCACCUUCAAAGCAUCUCCAGCAGCACCGUAAUUGUAGUUCCUAGAUGGUAGAACCAAUGUUAAAUUAGUAACAUUGUCUAUUCAAAGAACUCAAACUACAACCUCACGUAUCUUCUAGAACUUCAGAUGUCACGAGAUUUGAGGAAAAAACAUAAAUGUGACAAUAGCUAGACUAUGGAACAAACUGACAGACAACAACAAAGGCUUAUCCCACUAAGCGGCGUCUGCUGUAUGAAGACAAAUAUGUCUGACGACUCUGACCGCAAACAACUCCAUCUAGUUUCCGCCACAAGUAAAUUACUAGCUUGCAGUAUGUAUCAUCUAAUUUGUGAACUUGCUAAGAUGGCAUUAUACGAGUAGACCAACGAAUUAAUCUCAUCUAACGAUAGCUCGCUCUACUUUACAACACAACUGACAUCAUCUUUGGUUAAUUUAUUUGGUAAACGAAAGCUCGGACAAAUGAAUAUUAUGAAAGGAAAUCGACAUAAACCAAUGAUAAAAUAGAUGGAAUACAAACCAGUAGAUAGGCAAAGCACCACGGCCAUAGUAUUCAGCCCCAUGACUGCAGGGAUAUAUGUACUUGUAAUAGUCAUCACAGUAUGACUGCAUGGGACUCAUUUCCCUGUUGUAGCAAAGCCCCCAAGCGUAUGGUCCUCCGGUGGCCACACCGUAACCGCCUGGAACAAUCAUCCCCAUCGCCGUCAACAACCAUAGGAACACCGGUAUACAUAUGUGAAGUACAGCAAAAGCUUACUGUAUUUUAUAAGGGUUAAAAAUCUUUUUCGUCACCGUAUUUAUGGUCACUGCGUUUUCAAUUUAGCCAAUUCGGUCACCGUGUUUUACAAAAUUUGCAAUCGUCGUCGCUUCUCGUAACUUUAUGUUAAAAAGAAUUAUUAAUUUUUUCAUUUUUUGACUUAAAACACAGUGACCAAAUUAGCGAAAAUCGAAAACACUGCGACCAAAUUGGCAAAAUUGAAAACACAGUGACAAAAAAUUGUAUGAAAUCCAAGUUUUUUCCUUCAAAAUCGACGUUGUUCAUAAAGCCAAUUCACUAAAACUCAACAAAUCUCAAUCAAACAUUACUAAUUAUAAAAACAAGAGCUACCCAAAAUAGCAAUUCUAUGCACAAACAAGAGUGGUGACUUACAGGAGGUUUUGCUGCGGACAUGUCCAAGAAAGGCGGUGAUCUCCUUCAUCUGCAUAAGCUUCCCACCGGUGGUCCUAAACCCAAGAGGCUCGAAAAGCGCUGCGGCGGUGAUAAACGCCUGGUAAUCCCAAAACCCAACGGCAUGCGCCACCGGUAUGUUUCUCUUGGAGAACAGAUUCUCAAACUGGUAAGUCUGGAAGUAAUCAGAGAUGGUGAGAUUGCAACAGUACUUUGACCACCCUUUACACUCCCACCCUUUGUCGCACAACUUCUUCCCCCUCACAAUCUUCACUUUCACGACGGUGGACGAGUAAUCGCCAUCGUUGCUGGCACAAAGACAACACUCAGCGCCACCACCGCCACCAAUGCAGCAGCAGAGAUCUUCAUGGUUGGAUGCGGAAGAACAAAUUUGAUUACAUGAUAUUCAACUUAGGAUCAUCUCUUUCGAAGAUGGUCUUAUAGAUUUUAAACUUAAAGCACUCUUUUCUUAAGCAUUUGAAGUGGAGCAAAAAAUAAUCACAAGGCAACACGUGGAUUUUUGGUAAAAAUAACAAAGUUACUCCUAAGACAUACAAGUUGUACUAAUCGCUAGCAGUGGACAAUCAUUCUUUACUCAAGCUAAGAGUGUCCAAAAAAGAUAACCAAUUCCAAAUUAUUUCAUUCAUCCUCAUCUUAGGUAAUUACUUCAUAACUUAUAAAUUAUUCCAUAUAAAUAGAGAUUAAUUGGCCAAUUAAUGGAUUAAAUUCUAAUUAAUCCAUUAAUCACUAAUUAAAUCUAAUUAAUCCAUUAAUCACCAAUUAAAUCAUCUAUUUUCACACAAAAAACCUCUAAGGGCUGGCCACCUCCAUUCCCUAUAUAUAUGACCUUAUUUUUUCUAAAAAAGGAGGUCCACACUCUUGCAAAACUCCCAUAAACUCUCCAAACACUUUUCUCUCUAAAUUCUAACUUUGGCAUCGGAGGUUCUUCGGUCAAAACCCCCAUUCAUCGUGGGCACGUGAGGCAUUUGGUCUUGACUAAAGGUGUUGAUUGUUUUGUAGAUGCAAUUUUGUCAAAGAAGGAGAAGGCGAAAAUUUGCAUCCACAAAUUGGUACUUUCAUUGAGAGCUGAGAUCUACACUCAUAGAAGACUCUUGGCCUUGACCAAAGGUGUUGAUUGUUUCGUACGUUCUUAUUAUUAGAAUUUUUUAUUUGCAAAGAUUCUUUGAUAAAAUGCAAAAGAGAAAUACAAUAGUUAGAAAUUUAGAAAUUCCACAAGUGAAAAUUCCAAUAUUCAAGAAAUGGAACCGCGGCGAUCCACGAGACUAAAUGUGAUCUUAGGGGGAGCGGCACCGCCACCACAAGGCUCAACCAUGGCAACCCCCGCGGUGGCCACCACGACAAUCACCCAUGGCGAGGUCCAUGGCUCCACCACCACGGCCCGAGCCAUGUCACUUCAUGCCCAACGCGAGCCCAAUGCAUUGCCAGGCCAAGCCCAGGCCUCGCAUUCACGAGUAUCACUUGUUGAGCAGCCUACUCUAUCGGCUUAACUUGCUCUCGUGGCCCAACCUGCUCUAGCGGCCCAACCUGUUCUAGCGGCCCAGCCUGCCCUCGCGGCCCAGCCUGCUCCCACAGCCCAACCUGCUCCCGCAGCUCUGCCUGUUCCAAUGAUUUCCCAAGCAGCCUAAGUAGGCUCAAGAAUAUCUCGACCAUCCUGAGCAACCAUCGAGCCAAGGGCAUUUUUACCAUAUUUCUCCACAGAUUUGACAUUUCCCAACUCAAAUCUCAUGCCUGAAGUCUACCAUACUUCCACUGCUCAAUUAGGUAUAUUCCUUCCAAGCUCUUCAAAUCUAAAUAGAGAACAACACUUGUCUCGACAAGUCAUAGAGUUGACGAGCGCCCUUGCACAACAGAUGACCUUGGUGAAUCAACUUUUGCAACGCACCGAGAUCCAACGUGCCCCGGACGAGGUAUCCCGAGGUAAGAUAAAGGCAGAUGAACCUUUCCAGUAGCGUCUCGGCAAGCAGCCACUCGACCAGCCACGAGCCGAGCAUUCGGGCAGUGUACAUUCCCGAUUAGGCUUCCAAGAUAACGUAUAUUCCCGUCUUAUAGCGUGGAGGAGCGUGCCCAAGGAUAAGUAUACAUUCACGGUUGGGGCCACACUCUGAUAAUCAACAUGAGUAACCUUACAGGCAAAGCAUUCAUUUGCGGCUAGGCCAGCAAUGAGUAUCAUGCACAUCACAUCGGAGCAAGUAGCACAUUGGACGGAAAGAAACAGUCACUCAAUCCGGCUUAAGUUCAAACAGCAGCCUGUGAGUUACACACUCGCCUGCUAGGAAGAUACCACACCUACCGACGAACAUAUAAAAGAGCAGCUUAGACCAGCACAUCAUGAUCGGGGGCAACCGAGAGCUCUGCCACCCCAACAAAGGAAAAUUCAAGAAGAAGUAAAAAGGCUUAUGACCAAGCGAUUACGCAAUUUCUCGCACCAACCAAGCCUCAAAAAGGCACAAGAUGAAACACCUAAUGAUGGCGCAAUAAUUCAGGGAGCAGCUCACUGCACUUACACCCUUAUGUGGGUUCCACAAGCAGUUCGAAGUCUCAAGUAGUUCACUAAACAAAACCUCGUAGCCUGAGGAUUAUUUCAGUUAUCCAGUAGUCCAGCUUUCCUCAGCUGCACUCACGACAACAACUUCUAUGCUCUCCAGUACGAUAGGAUAAACUAAUUGCUCUCCAGUGCGAGAGAGUAACCAAUUCCCCGACACCCAAAAAGGUCUGCUCUCCAGUGCGAGAGGAUAAACUAAUUGCUCUUUAGUGCGAGAGGGUAAACCAAUUCCCCGACACCCAUAUGGGUUUACUCUUCAGUGCGAGAGGAUAAACUAAUUGCUCUCCAGUGCGAAAGGGUAAACUAAUUGCUCUUAAGUGCGAGAGGGUAAACCAAUUCCUCGACACCCAUCUGGGUUUGCUCUCCAGUGCUAGAGGAUAAACUAAUUGCUCUUCAAUACGUUAAGGUAAACUAAAUCGCUGACACCCAUCUGGGUAAACUCUUCAGUGCGAGAAGGCCACAUAGUUCAAAAGAUCGAAUGCUUGAAGAUCAACGAAGCAAUAAAUGGUUAUGGGCAACAGCCACUUUUACACUUAAUAGUUCGCUCAUCUGACACUUCAUCUUGAGCAACUCUGAUCUUGGCAGUUUCAUCCUUGACUGCUCUAUCUAUGGCAGUUGAAAAUCAAAAUCAAGUAGUUUCCUCAUUUUCAGCAGACAGCCCAAACAAUUGCCUAUUCCACGCCACUUCCUCGGCCCAUGUCAAACCAAUCCUUGGCUUCAAUUAAGAUGAGCUGCUCAAGCAAUGUCCCUUGCCACAUCACAUCCUUGGCCCAUGCCAAUCCAACUCCUAGCCCUUAUCAACCGACGUGCCGCACAACCCCGACGAUUGCCCCGUGGCAGCACCACCCAAGAAAAAUACAAGAAGAAAUUAAGUUUUUAUUACAUUGGUGACGCAUGGAGAAGACGAAGAAAGCAACGAAAGACGGUCAUUUACACGGGCAAAAUGUAGAAGAUUGUUAGAGGAGAGGGAACAAAUAUCCUUUAAGCUCUCUCUCUCUUGUAGGGUAGAAUAAAUCACUCUCCAAAGUUGAUUUAAUAACCCAUUUAAGGUGGACUUAGAUAGGCUUUGAGAGAAAUUUAUUUCCCUUUCCUAGAAGGAUCUAAUUUCAUAUUAGAGAGGGAAUUUGCAUCAAAACAGGAAAUAAUCCUAAGUUUCCUAGAGCAAGAAGAUCUCUACAUCUGCUACCCUUUCCUACGAGCAGCCUAGUAGGUGUGGGGGCACUUGUGGAGCCAAAAAUAAUCACAAGGCGACACGUCGAUUUUUGGUAAAAAGGACAAAGUUACCCCUGAGACACACCGGUUGUCCUAUGCGCGAGCAGUGGACAAUCAUUUUUUAAUCAAGCCAAGAGUGUCCAAAAAAUGUAACCAAUUCCAAAUUAUCUCAUCCAUCCUCAUCUUAGGUAAUUACUUCAUAACCUACAAAUUAUUCCAUAUAAAUGGAGAUUAAUUGGCUAAUUAAUGGAUUAAAUCAUAAUUAAUCCAUUAAUCACCAAUUAAAUCACCCAUUUUCACACAAAAAACCUCUAAGAGCCGGCCACCUCCAUUCCCUAUAUACAUGACCCUAUUUUUUCUAAAAAAUGAGGUCCACACUCUUGCAAAACUCCCAAAAACUCUCCAAAUACUUCUCUCUAAAUUCUGACUUUUGUAUCGGAUGUUCUUCAGCCAAAGCCCCCCCAAUUCAUCGUGGGUGCGUGAGGCUCUUGGCCUUGACCAAAGAUGUUGAUUGUUUUGUAGGUGCAAUUUUGUCAAAGAAGGAGAAGGCAAAAAUUUGCAUCCACAUUUGACAUCCUUCGUUUUUCUAAAAAAAACUUAAUUUAAGAACGAAUAUCUUUUUUUUUUUUAGAAGAGAUCAUCCCCGGAUUUCUUUCACCAAGGCCACCGGAUCAAAUGAUCCAGGCCUUUCAAAUUUCAUCCAACGGCUAAAAAUUAUUACACCUUUUAAGAAGUCAAAACAGGUGGACCGUUGGAUGAAAUUUGAAAGGGCCGAAUCACUUGAUCCGGUGACCUUGGUGGAAGAGAUCCGGAGAUGAUCUCUUCUCUUUUUUUUAGAUCAAGGAGGGGGAUCUUUAAGAUUUCUGAACUCCACUUGAACAAUUAAUUAUACAUAAAUUCAAGGGCAAAAGACUGUUUACUACCCUCAUGUUUCAUGAUUUUCAACAUUUAGUAUAUCAAGUUUUUUUUGUCCCAGAGUCAUACCUAAAGUCUAAAUUUUGAGACAAUCUCAUACAUCCGUUAGUCAAACUGUUAAGUCUCUCAUUAACUGUGACGUGGCGCCUAUAUGGACAAUGACUGGGCACCACGUGUCAUCCACGUGGAAAUUAAAAAUAAAUUAUUUAUUAAAUAAAUAAAUAAAAUUAUAUAUAUAUAUAUUAAAAUUUUAAUAAAUAAUAAAUAAAUAAAUAAAAACCUUCAUUUUCCCCAGAUUCGGAAGAAGAAGAAGAAGAAGGAAGAAGGAGAAAAAGGGGGAAGAAGAAGAAAAAAAACGAAAUUUGCAACCAAGAUUCGAAGGAAGAAGGAAGAAGAAGGAGAAAAAAAAAUGCAGAUUCAGAGGAAGAAGAAGAAGAAGGAGAAGGAGAAGGAAUAAGAAGAAGAAAAAAAUCGAAAUCUGCAACCCAGAUUCGGAGGAGGAAGAAGAAGAAGAAGAAGAAGAAGGAAAAAAAACUGCAAAUUCGGAGGAAGAAGAAGAAGAAGAAGAAGAAGGAAGAAAAAAAAAAAAAACCGAAUCUACAACCCAGAUUCGAAGGAAGAAAAAAAAUGAUUUUGCAACCCAGGAGGAAGAAGAAAAAAAAAAAAAAAACCGAAUCUGCAACCCAGAUUCGGAGGAAGAAUGAAGAAAAAAAAACCUAGAGGAGUAAUUCUUAAAUGUAUAUUCACAUCCUUACCUAGCACGAGGCCUUUUGGAAGUUCACUAGCUUCGGGUUCCGUAGGAACUUUGAAGUUAAGCGAGAAGGAGGCCAUAGCACUCCUAGGAUGGGUAACCCAUUGGGAAGUUGCUCGUGAGUUCCAAAAAACAAAUCCGUGAGGGAAUGGUAAACCCAAAGCGGACAAUAUCGUGCUACGGUGGUGGAGCGGGCUUGGGAUGUGGUGGAACCCGGGUCGGGAUGUUACAAUUGUGACAGCCCGUCCUAAAUUUUGUGUUUUUAUUAAUUUUAGAAGUGUGAAUUUAUGAAAAUACCUUAGAGACAAGGACUUUGACUUUCGCGGAUCAUCGUUUAGAGUGACGUAUGACUUAUUCUUUUAGCAUAUCCUCGUAGUAUUUGUCACUACGAACGCAUAGGCGAAAGCUGUUUACGAGUCAAAAUUAUAACAGUAUAGUUACGGACGUUUGAAGUUUGUUAUUUAAAGGUAGUUAAAUUAUUUGAACUCCCACCUUGUGGGAAGACUAACCAAUCAGCCUUUAAGCAAAGAGAAAAGGGAACCAAUCACAUAAAAGGAGGACAAAGCCUCUAGCCAAUCAGAAAAAUGAGCUUUCCCGUGGGUUUUUCCGCUCACGACCACCCAUUUUCCAAGGCUGAUUCCGGCCAACUCCGGGGAAGUUUUUCGAAGCCACCACCACCAUCUUGAAGCUCUCAUUCCUCUCUACAGAACCCACCUAAGAACCACCUUGGUUAACCCUGUACGUGGCGGUUCGAGGCCACAAAAAUCGAUGAAAACCAAUGGUGUUCCGGCCACCCUUUUCAUUUUUCCGACGAAUCGGCAAAGCAAUAGCCGACACCACCACUUGGGCUUUCUAGCCCAUCAUCCCAGGAGAAAAUCACCACCAGCCUUAACCCCGUUGGAGCACCGAGGAAAAAGAAUCGAAGUUCACCCAAGUAUAGGGUUACCGACGGAUUUUAACAAAAUUGAAGCUCUUCCCGGCCUAUUUGGCCUGGGUCACAGUUUCCGACGACCUUCGCCACUUUCGAGGUGUUUCCCGGCCAAAUCACGAUGAGAUAGCCAUCAUGUAAGGUUGCCCAGAAAUUCCGACGAGUUACCAGUUUUCCCGCGGACAGCCGUCUUUCAGACCAUUUUCCGAUCACCUCCGGGCACCAGUUGGACUCCAAGCUGGCGCCGAUCGCUCGGGACGCCUCGAUGGUUAUGCUAGGAAGUUGUAGCAUGGACUCCAGGUGAAUGGAUCUUUCCUUGCUCAUCUUAUGUUUCAUGAUUGAUAAUUCUAUAAAUACUUUUAAAUAAAACUGAGAAACUUAUGCCAUGACAUAUAUAUUUAUAUGUUAUAAAAUACUAUGAGAUGGUUGAGUUAGAUUUCAUCGUGAUCUAUCCAUAUACGUAUUACUAUAAAUGAUUAUUGUGAACUACGAAUGGUUUGAUCCCUGCUUAUGGUACGUAGGCAGUCUAACGAGACGUUAGAUGCAGCCAUAUAAGAAAUGAGAUUAAAUAACCGAGACCAUAGCCUUGUUUAAGGAAUUGAGCAAUAUGUGUGGGUUUUUGGUUUUAAGUAUAUAUGUAUACACUUGAUAUUUUCCCAUAAAUAUGUUUAAAUGAGAUUAUGCAUUAAAUGCCAUGCAUAUAAGUUUAUAAUUUGUAUAUGAAUUGGCAUAUGAUGCAUUAUAUAUAAGUGUGUUGCUGUGAACUCUCUGAAGUGUAAGGGUGAACGUAGGACAUUCAGGUAAGUUCAGGUAAGUUUAAGUAAAUUCAAGUAGGUAUACGGUAUUAGCAUGAUUGAUGAGAUAUGUGAUGAGAUAUGAAUAUGUUGUAUAGGUCACUACAUCACUAGAAAUGACUCCGACUUAUAUGCUAGCCAUGAUUGAUGAGAUAUGUGAUGAGAUAUGAAUAUGUCGUAUAGGUCACUAGAAGUGACUUCGACUUAUAUGUUAGCCAUGAUUGAUGAGAUAUGUGAUGAGAUAUGAAUAUGUCGUAUAGGUCACUAGAGGUGACUCUGACUUAUAUGUUAGCCAUGAUUGAUGAGUAUUGUGAUGAAAUAUGAAUAUGUCGUAUAGGUCACUAGAAGUGACUCCGACUUAUAUGCUAGCCAUGAUUGAUGAGAUAUGUGAUAAGAUAUGAAUAUGUCGUAUAGGUUACUAAAGGUGACUCUGACUUAUAUGCUAGCCAUGAUUGAUGAGUAUUGUGAUGAAAUAUGAAUAUGUCGUAUAGGUCACUAGAAGUGACUCCGACUUCUAUGCUAGCCAUGAUUGAUGAGAUAUGUGAUGAGAUAUGAAUAUGUCGUAUAGGUCACUAGAGGUGACUCCGACUUAUAUGCUAGCCAUGAUUGAUGAGCCACGAUUGAUGAGAUAUGAAUAUGUCGUAUAGGUCACUAGAGGUGACUUCGACUUAUAUGUUAGCCAUGAUUGAUGAUAUAGGUCACUAGAGGUGACUCCGACUUGCGUACUAUUAUGAGAUAUUAAUCGCUUGAUUAUUUGAUAUUAUUGUUGAGAUGUUGUGUGGUGGUACAUUAUGAUUUCUCUGGAAAUUAUACAGGUGUUGUAACGAGGGAUUACAUGUGUUAUAUGUUUUCUAUUAGUAAUUUACUUACAUGGCCACUCACCCUUGUCUUGUCUUCACCCUCCAGGUAUUAUUAGCUGAGUUUUAUUAUCACCAAAGACUCACGGCGAUAAGAAGAAGAAGAAGAAGAAGAAGAAGAAGAAGAAGAAGAAUAAGAAAAAGGAAGAAGAAAAAAAAAUCCAAAUCUGUAACCCAGACUCGGAGGAAGAAGAAGAAAGAAAGAAAAAAAAAAGGGAACCCAGUUUGUCCCUCCUUCCCCCCCCCCUCGAAACCUAACCCCCUGCAACCCAGAAGAAAAAGAAGGAUGAGGAAGAAGAAGAAGAAGAAGAAAAGAAAAAAAAAACCGAACCCCAGAAGAAGAAUAAGAAGAAUAAGAAGAAGGAAAAAAAACGUGGAUGACACGUGGCGCCCAGUCAUUGUCCACAUGGACGCCACGUCACAAUUAACGGCAGAUUGAACAGUUUGACUAAUGGAUGUAUGAGAUUGUCCUAGAAUUUACACUUUAGGUAUGACUUUGGGAUGAAAAAAACUUGAUGUACUAAAUGUUGAAAACCACAAAACAUAAGGGUAGUCAACAAUCUUUUUCCCUAAAUUCAAAUUUAAAUCUCUCUGUCAUUUUAAUCCAAGUGGCUUUGAGAAGUGUGUGGAUUCAACCCCAUGAUGAUUCUUUCCAAAACAUAAAAGUAAAGAGAGUUUUUUUUUUGGAAAACAAGUAAAGAAAGUUUUGUGUAGUUGUUCAUCUGAUUUGAUUUCUCUUGUCCCUUUUUUCCUUUUUAAGUUUUUCCAAGGCCCCAUAUACGUAUUUCAAUACAUAAAACAACCAUUCGACUUUUGACGCACGUAUACCUCCAACCCUUUUGGCAUGGAAAUGACAUAGGAUAUUGUUGAUGCACAAAACCGGAGGUCUUGGAACAACGUAAAUCCGGCCGUAAAUCUGUAAGUAAUGUAAAUAACACAAGAUGUAUCGUGGUUCACCCCAAGGUUUGGGCUACGUCCACAUUGAUUGUAUUGUAUUUCUCUGAGAAGUGAGGGAGAUAGUGUGAGAACUUUGCUCUAGAUAGGAAAGACCUAGGGUUUGUGAAGGUGAUGAGGCCUUUUUAUAGAAUAAGGGCUCCUCCCCUAAUUACAUAUUUGCCCCUUUCUUUAUUACAUAAUUGCAUUUAAGUCCUCUGAGUAUUUAUACGAGGCCCUAAAUAUGGUAUAAACAGUAAUCCCCCAAGUCUUCAGUCAAGAGAGUCUUUUGGCUGGAGACUUGAAAUUCAGUCCAUGUGUGGGCCGAAGCAACUAGAUGUUGUCUUGAACUGAUGCUCAACUAGAAGUAGCACAUGCUGCGAGGCUGCGAGGCUCGUGGCUUAUGUUGCCUUGGUUGGCUCGGCUUGCAGCGUUUGAAGAUGAGAGAGUCCCUUUUAUAGAAUAAGGGUUCGCUCAUCAAUACAUGAAUGAUGGGCUAGAGUUGAUGCUCUCUAAUGAUGGUGAGGGAGUCCCUUUUAUAGAAUAAGGGCUCGUUCCUCAAUACAUAAAUGAUGGGCUAGAGUUGAUGCUCGCGGCGAGGCGGUUGCUCAAUAGGCGGCGAUGCUCUCAAAUGGUGGUGAGGGAGUCCCUUUUAUAGAAUAAGGGCUCGCUCCUCAAUACAUAAGUGAUGGGUUAGGAGUGAUGCUUGCGGCGAGGUGGUUGCUCAGCUGGCGGCGUUGCUCUCUAAUGAUAGUGAGGGAGUCUCUUUUAUAAAAUAAGGGCUCGCUCCUCGGUACAUGAAUAAUAUGUGCUCUCUAAUGAAAGUGAGGGAGUCCCUUUUAUAGAAUAAGGGCUCGCUCCUCAAUACAUAAGUAAUGGGCUAAGUCUCCCAAGUAUUUUUCAUGAGGCGAUAUUUGUAUACCCUGCAUUGAAGCUUUGUAAAUGAAGCUUUGCAAGUGAAGCUUUGAAGCUGGAGCUCUGUAAAUGAAGCUUUUGAAGCUAUAGCUCUGUAAAUGACGCUUUUGAAGCUAGAGCUCUGUAAAUGAAGCUUUUGAAGCUAGAGCUCUUUAAAUGAAGCUUUUGAAGCUAGAGCUUUUGUAAAUGAAGCUUUUGAAGCUGAUUGACAUGAGUGAUGCUCAUGGAUGUUGACAUGAGUGAUGCUCAUGAUUGUUUAUGUAUGAUUGGUUGAGUGAUGCUCAUGAAUGUUUAUGUAUGAUUGACAUGAGUAAUGCUCAUGUAUGAUUGACAUGAUUUAAGUACUAGGCGUACUUUUGAUCACCUAGUUGGUGGCAUGAAGUAGAAUACGGAUUGUACAUUUCAUCACCUGGUUGGUGGCAUGAAUGGCUAGUUGCCAAAUGAUAUUAGAGUACGGUUGUACAUUUCAUCACCUGGUUGGUGGUAAUAGUGGCAGGUUGCCAAAUAAUUUUGGAAGUACUGGCAUACUUUUGAUCACCUGGUUGGUGUUAUUUUGGGCUUAUGGGCAUUCGCCCUCUACACAGCAUUCUAGCCCAUUUAUUUUGGGCUUUUUUUUUUACCCUCUAAUGGGAUUUAUACAUAUUACCCUCUGGUGAGGUUUAUACAGAUGUUUCCGAAAAAUAAGGAAAAUAAGUUACAUCAUUCUGGUGGGGUGUUUAUUCCUUGCUUUUGCAGUGUUUUUCUACUGCACUCUCUCUGUCUCUUCAUCUGGCAGACAAAAGGAAUCAUAAUAAUACGAAAAUCUUUUGCUUUUCUUCUUUUCUCUCCACUGCGUCUCUGUCUUUUGCUUUUGUGUCGUAGCUCACUUGAUUGUUUUUCUUUCUGCUUUCUUCUUUUGCUUUUCUUUCUCUUUCCUUGCGCUGCUUUGCUUUGCUUUUACUUUCUUUUUCCUUUGGGUCGUCUGCACCAAAACAGAGCCUUUGGGACUGAGGGUAAAUUUCACAUUCACCGCAGGAGGAAUUAACACAAGAACCGGGAAGAAUUUCAGGCAAUUCGAGCUCCUUCCUUGAUUUCAAACCGGAGAGAUUGGGCCAGCACGGACCCCCAACAAACUAUCAAAAAAUUCCUGGUGGUUAAUCCACAAACGAAAACCGACCCAGAAGCAAUUAAUUCAAAAGACAACCCAUUUGCGUGGUUAAAUGCAAAUUGAUGGGUUAAGCUUUGUUGGGAUUUUGAUUCAGUGGUCUGGGGAUAUCAAAAAUGAGGGAGAUCUGUGUAGGCAAACAAAUCUCUGAAUUUCGUCGCCCGUUCACUACGACAUCUCCGAUAUCCCUCUCUCUAUUUUUUUUUUUUUAGCUAGUUAGUCUGGAUCGGAAUUCAGUGGAGAAGUGGGGUGCUGCGUUUUGCGGUUGCAGGCCAGGCAGAGAAAACCGGAGGGUGCUGCGUUUUGAGCUGAUGCAGUAGCAGAUUGGACUGGCUCUUCGCAGACCUCGCCAAAUCUCAGCCAUCAGAUUACUGUUCGGACGAUCGCACACUUUUCUUUUCUUCUGCUUGAGCUAGACGAAGCCGGAGGUGUGGUUGUAGCCAAACUCAACAACACCGACGGUGGCCACAGAGCCGACGUAGAGGGAAGCAACGGCGAAGGCCUUGAAAGGCUUGGUAAAGAAAUUGCCGGCACAGCCUUUCCGGGAUGACAUAAGGGCCCAAACCCAGUGGAGCCACACUGCCCCCGGCCUACCACUAGUGGGUGUGUGACCCAUUGCUACCGCUGCUUCAUUCUCCGGAGUCUCUUCCUCCUCCUGCAUCUGAGUUUCUCUGGCCGAUGACAAUAAAGCACCUUGUUUUGCUUCGUUCUAUAGAAUUCGGUGUGUGUUGGGUUUUUGUGGGCUUGUUUUUGGUUUUUGCAGAUUCAUGGCGGAGGUGAAAAAUUGAGAGAUACCUGACAUAACUUUUCGUGUCAAUUCCCACAGACAGCGCCAAAUGUUGAUGCACAAAACCGGAGGUCUUAGAACAACGUAAAUCCGACCGUGAAUCUGCAAGUAAUGUAAAUAACACAAGAUGUAUCGUUGUUCAUCCCAAGGUUUGGGCUACGUCCACACUGAUUGUAUUGUAUUUCUCUGAGAAGUGAGGGAGAAAGUGUGAGAGCUUUGCUCUAGAUAGGAGAGACCUAGGGUUUGUGAGGGUGAGGAGGCCCUUUUAUAGAAUAAGGGCUCCUCCCCUAAUUACAUAUUUGCCCCUUCCUUUAUUACAUAAUUACAUUUACGUCCUCUGAGUAUUUAUACGAGCUCUAAAUACGAGGCCCUAAAUAUGGUAUAAACAGAUGUAGUCCCAUAUAUUGCAUUAUUAGGUUAAGCAGAAUCACCAAACCAUAUUUAUAUGAACUUUUAACAACCAUCGCUUCAAUCUUAAAGAGGGAUUGGAUUAGCCUAAACAGAAUGUGUUUUGUAGUGGCACCUUAAUUAUAUACUAGCCUUCAUGCACGCGCUCACGCGCAUGCAGAAGAUAUUUUUUGAAUCAAAGCGUGUUACGCGCGACUUACACAUUUUAAAUGUAUUUAUAUUCGUGAAUUGACAAAAGGAAAGUCAAAUAUUUGAAGUAAAUGAAUAAUCUUAGAUCAUGCUAGAAAAAAAACCCUCACAAACCAAUCAAAGCAGCUAAAUUCACAUAAUAAAAUUGGUAUUUCAAUUUCCAUCUACAUUCUAUUGAAUUUACAUUAAGAAUAGAGAAAAUAAUAUUUAAUAAACAACUGAUUGAAUCACAUUAUUGGUAGCCCAUCACCCUCCCCCUUAGUGUAGAUAAUAUCGUUUGUUAAAAAAAACAAUCAUUUGACAACUAAUUUAAUCACAUUAUUAUGCGCAUGUGAAAUUUUUUUUUUUAUUAUCGGCAUUACACGCCUCUUAAGAUGUUUAGAACGUGUUUAAAAAUAGAGAAAAUAAUAUUUAAUGAACAACUAAUUUAAUCACAUUAUUACUAGCCUAUUGUGAGGUACUAAUUUUAAAAUAAAAUAAAAAAACUGUACAAAAAGAAUUAAUUAUUAAAACAUAUUGUUAAAAUGACUAAAAUGCCCAUGCAUUAUUUUGGGUUGCUUUUGAAAUUUUUUGAAUUGGGGGCAUUUUUGUCCAAAUUUUUUUGGUGAAGCUUGUGACCCCAAAAUGAGUUGUUGGCUUUAUAUAUAAAGAUAUAUAUAUAUAUAUAUAUAUAUAUAUAUAUAUUUUUUUUUUUUUUUUUUUUUUUUUUUGAAAAAUGCUAAGGAGACUUUCUUGAAGUGGACUCUCUAUAGAUUCUCUGUCACAUAAUUUAACAUUAAUUUCAAUGAAUUAUAAAAUAUUGUGCAAAAAACUUGAGGUUAUGGAGAAUUCAUAAGGAGUCCUAAACAUAUAAUAUGUUCCGUGGUGCACUUUAUAUGUACUUUUGCCUCAUUUAUUUGUUCUCUUUUAAGCUGUUAUGAUGCUACCCUUCCAUCUAUCAUGCCAUCCAUAUAUUUAUGCUUUGGAUUGAAUCAUCUUUUCUUUUCUCUUCUCAAGUCAAUUUUCUAAUAGCUGUAUUUGCAAUGAGUUGACAUCUACAGGCUGAUCGGUUUAAGGACGUAGAUGAGUUAAGGGUGUUGAUAUCAUACUAUUUAUUUCUAAUAAAGCAUUGUUUUCGGCUGACAAUAACACUAGGAAGAUAUAUUUAAGCUGAGUGUGAUACCUAGUUGUAAGUGUACUUGUGGAGAUUAGGAUUCUCUCAUCUCUCCUCUUUUUAUCCUCUUUCGUUCCCUUCUCUUACAUUUUCUAUUUUGUCUUUCUCUUUUUAUAAAAAAAUUAAUAUAAGAUGUUAAUGUAGCUUAAUCGUGACCAUUCAAAUGGGAGGGGAUGGAAAAAAAGAUGGGACAGAAUCCUACUCCUACUCCUACUCCUACUCCUACUCGUGGUGGCAAAACUUUAUUGUAAGUGAAUUAUCCUGUUUUAAACUACGUAGUUUUGUAAUAUACUAUCAUAACCUCCGUGAUCUAGUGAUAGUUACCGGAAGUCUUAAGUCAUGUCAUGUGUAUGUGAGGAAGGUAUAAAUAUUUGUUGCGAGUUCGAUAUUGGGUUUUGGCUAGCUUGUUUACUAGAUUAUUAAUUAGUUAUUAUGGAUUACUUACUUUUAAGGAAACACAUUAUUAGAGUCUUUUUUUUUAAUCCAAUAAUAUAUUUAUAUUAAAGGAAAAUUAAUGAAAAGUUAAAAAAAAACUUUAGUUUUAAUGAAAAAUGACAAAUAAAUGUGUAGUGAAUAGUACCAGGAAAAAGUAAAAAUGUGGUUUUUCGUUAAAAGUGAACAAUACCAUGAGUGUUUCGUUAAAACUUCUUUAUAUUAAUGGGUGGGGAUUUUGGGCUAGACCGUAAAGUGUGCAUGUCAUAAUACUUUGGCAUCGAACUCGUCAUCCACCGACGUUAAACCUAAACCUCCUUAUAUGUAGAGAAAAAUAUUAUUUGACCAUAGACUAUUAAAUGCAUUUUCAAAGUUUUAAAACACAGAGGGCUUAAAAUCUUACAAAAUGAUGUACAAUAUUCGUAUGCAUGACAUUUAACCAUCAUAUAUGCAUGGGUUUGGGAUGCAACGAAAGUAACAACCUUAAUUUUUUUCAUGCAAAUAUAUUUUCCUUUGCGACGUACAUGCAUGCACAAUUAUUACCAGACGAAGCAAUUUUAGAACGACUUUUAGCCUGGAAAUGAUUAUAUUUUAAGGGCACAAGAAUAAGAUUGCUCUUUAUUUAAUAAAUUAAUUUUCUGGUGUUUGUAGUAUACUGUUUAAAGUCUAAAGAACACAGGCAACCACACACUUUAUGGUCAGCAAGUGAUUGUUAAUCAAUCAGAAGAACAAUUAGAUUAUUAAGAUGAGAUAGAUAUAAAAUAUAUAUGCCAAAAAUAUAUCACCUUAUUUGGAAGGGUGGCUCUUCCUUUUGAGUGCAACUUUGCACCAAACAUAGACAUUUAAGUUUCUUCUUCUUCUUCUUCUUCUUUCUUCCAAAAAAAAAAAAACAUAUACAUUUAAGAAGAAUUUUGUUAAGGCUGAUAUAGAAGCUGCUUGCAUCUCCUUUUCCCAUUAUUAUUGGAUGAUAUAUAUAUAUAUAGGACUUAAUUAUUGUUCAGGAGUGAUUUGAUACAUUGAUUAGUAAUUACUUAACCAGCAAGACAGCAAGCAAGGAGUCUUAUUAUAUGUCUGCAGGUACAUUACAUACCAACAGGAUCCUCUCCGGAUCCUUUUGGUAAGGAUCUGGGAGAUUCGUGAAUCGUGUUCGUUCAUCGUACAUCGUGCGGCCAGUUUUACAAUUGUUAUGAAAAACAUUUAAGCUUGAAGAAACUUACUUUUUUUCAUAAUUGUUCUGUCCUUAUUCUCUCCCAUCCCUAUUGUUAGGCCAUCUCCAACCGAAGGCUGGUCAGAGGGCUCGUUUGAGCCCUCUAGCCCUCCAAGAUUCCCCAAGAUAUUAAUAUUUUAAUGAACAGUACAGGGCCAUAUUUGCCUCCGUCUCCAACCGAGGGCCAGAGGGCCAAAGGGCUCGUUUUAGCCCUGUCACAAAAAACCGUCUCCAACCGAGGGCCAAAGGGCCAUAGGGCCAAACAUAAUUUAUUAUUUAAAAACUACAAUUUAAUGUUGUAUAAAUGGCCUAGGAAGUUAUACGAAAAAAAUAGAAUUGAAAAAAAAUAUGAAACAAAUUUUGUGAAAUAAAAGUUAUAGGAAAAAAAAUAUGAAACAAAAUUUGAUUCAUAUGAAAAGGAAAAAAAAGGGGAAAAAAAGAAGUUUACAUUCAUUAAAAAAAAAUUAAAAAAAAUGAAGUUUAAAUUCAUUAAAAAAAAAAGGCCUAAUAAUACAACGGCUACUAGCCGUUAUAUUAAAAAACAUUUCAAAUUAUUAGUGUCGGUUAUAACCGACACUAAUAGUUGAACUAUUAAAAAAAAAAGAAUAUCUUUAAUGCUGUCGGCUAUAACCGAUAGCAAUAGGAAAUCAUUAAAAAAAAAAAUAGCCAGCCCGAGGCUGGCUGGCUGGCCGAAAGCAGUCAGCCCUCUAGCCCUCCAGCCCUCUCCGAUCCCGUGGGGCCCUCCCAGAUUCCAGAGCCCUCUGGCCUAGCCCUCGGUUGGAGACGGUUUUAGGGCUAUUUUCGGCCCUCUGGCCCUCUGAACCCUUCGGUUGGAGAUGGCCUUAUCUUAGUCUUAUUGUUAAUUUCACUUCAUUUUAUUAUCCGUGUUAUUUACUCUCUAGUUGUAUCUCCACUUGGAUUAAAUAUCCUUGAAACAAAUUAAGUAUGAGAGGAAUGUGUGACAGUGAUUUAAUUCGACGAAUGGGAAUAUUUAGAUUUAUAAUGUGAAUCAAUUCAGAUUUAGAAAUGAGAAUGUUUAUACAUUUCAUUGUAGCUAGUAAAAUAUGUUACUUCUACAUUUUAAUUUAUAACUUUUGUUUGCAUGACUCCUGCACUUAAGUUUUUUACUAUCAGUUUUGACACUUAAUAAUGUUGUGUUGGCAGAAGCUACAAAGGAGGAAGAACCAGAAGAUAACGACGAAAUGGAUGGUUUCCAAACUGAUGAUGAUGAUGAAUAUGGGAUGGAUCUGACAAGGAAAUGGGACUUGAUGCCGAGGAUGGUGAUGAAGUUGAUAGCGUUAAACUUCAAAAGUUAGGUGUGCCCUGUUCUCUUAUUAGAAUUUUUUUAGAGAGAAUACUUGCUAUUCUAUGGUGGUCAUCUUUUAUGAUCUUUUGAGAGUAAGGGUGAAGUUAAACAUGCUGUGUAGUGUCGUCACAUUAUCCUGGUUUGUGAUGCCUAAUAUUGACUGAACAAUUCACCUUUCUAACUCAUCCCAAAAUUUGAAUUUCAUUUCCCCUUUUUUUGUUAAGAUACUAAAAUUACAUCACAACAAGUUAGUCAGGCUUUCAGGUGAUUCUCGAUGCUUGAUGUUUGUUCAAGUUCAUUUUCUUUAAAUUAUUUUAGUUCUUGUGAGGUGUGAUGUGAAAGGCCAGCAUGGUGCUUGCCCAGGUACUAUAAGUCAAUAAAGAUGCCUAACAGUCCCAUAGGACCCUUAUGCAUGCAAUUUAAUGAUGACGCGCUUAGUCCCCUGCAUCCCUUGAGAUAUUGUCGCGAGCUUUUUUAUUUUCUGUUCAAAUGAUUGUAUUUUCUUUUACUGCAUGUUUUCACAUUGUUCUUUCUUGCUAUAUGUAUCCACUGCCGGCUAAUUAAUUAUCGUUUGCGGGGUGCUACAGGCAAGUCUUUCCGCCCUAGUGAUGAAUAUGACUCAGACUCGGACGAUGAUUUCAGUGAUGAUGAGGAAUUACAGUCACCAAUUGAUGAUGUGGAUCCUUUUAUCCAUUUUGUUGAUGCAGUCAAAGGUAUGUGGACAAACUUUCCCGUGUUAUCUGUUGAAUAACUUUUAAAUUUAUGGCAUUUUUGACAUGUUUCCUUAUUUCCUAUGCGUUGCUCGUGAAGCCAUGCAAGCAUCAGAUCCGUUGAGAGUUCACAGCCUUAUGCAGACUCUGGACUUCCAGUAUCAGGCUCUUGCAAAUGGCGUUGCACAGCAUGCUGAACAGAGGAGAGCAGAGAUUGAAAAAGAGAAGAUGGAGGAGGCAGCAGCUGCCACAGCUUCAUGAUUUUGCUUCUCUCGUUGUGGCUUCAAUUUUCCCUUGCUCUUCUUUGCCUCUUCCAUUCAUGUAGUAACGGGAAUAUAGAGAAACAAAGUCGUUGACGGUCCAUUCAGAGUAUUUGGUUGCUUUGGUGGUCGCAGACUCGCAGUUGUCGGUUAGUCUAAAGGACUUAUCAUUUUGAAGUACUUGGAGCGGUUCUCUGAUGAGUUCCAACAAUAUGCAAAAUUUUGGGGAACUCUGGAGCUGGUACGUCAAUUCUGGGUUUGGCUUUUAGUCAUUGUGCGGUGAGUCAGGCCAUUCUGUGGUAGGAUACGCAUUUCGGAUCUAUUUUUUCACAGAUUGGUUAAUUGGAAAUGGUGGGUUUAUUUAUUUUCUUGACUUCUGCGUUGUUUAUGUUAUUAAAUCGAAACUUUAUGCAAGAACUGUAACUUUGUCUUCAUUUUUGUUUGUUUGUUUGAUGACCAUAGCACCUACAUUGGUGAAUGCUUCAUGCAAUCGAGGCCGGAAAAAUAUCGAAAAUUGAAAUUGUGUUUUAGACGUUACUUGCAUUGCUGCUUGAAUAUUGUGAGCCAGUUUGUAGAAGAAUCACUUUCAAUUGUGGGUUUUCAUAUUUAAUGCGUUGAAUCACAUCCGACCCAGACAUUGAAAAAUGAGCACUUGAAUUCGUAGCAAGUAGAUCAAUUUAAUAAAAGGACAGGUUAAUCAGAAUAAUAAUAAUAUGAAAGCAAUACUCACCUAAUUGAAGACGUUGAAUGGUCUGUUAAAAGAAUGGAGAUGGGUUUAUGGUGGCAGGUGGACUCCUUUGUCAUAACUUUUUGGAGACUGGAUCAUUGAUUUUGCAAUUCAUGUGGGUGAUGGAGAAGUGCUUGAAGCAAAGCUACGUUGGACAUUGUUAGGAUGGUUAGGAAGCACAUCCUAAUUCCUAAGAUGGAUUAUAAGAGUUUAAAUACAUGAGGUCUUAGGUUCGAUUAUCGUCAAAGGUAAAUUUUAAAUCAUAUUAUUGCUAGUCUAUUAGGAGACUUAGUCCACUCAUUAUCUCUUAGUGUAGAUAAUAUCGUUUGUUCACACAAAAAAAAAUUGUAUUCAAACAAGAUUUUAAAGGAGUUUAUAACGGCCAUUUGGUAACGUUUUAUAAAAGGACUUUUGAAGAACUGUUUUGUAAAACCAGCAACACACACAUAAUAUUGAUUUUUAUGGUUUGAGAAUCAUCUAGUAGUUUAAUUCGAGAAUGAUUUUUGAGAAUGAAAACAUUGUAAACACGUUUGGUAUCAAUAUAUAAAAUGUUAAAAUAAAUAAUGUAAAUUCGUGUUUGGUAGUAAUUGUGGAGACAUAAUAACCACAUCCAAUAGAAGAUGGACAUAUGGACACUAUGCUCAAUAUGUGCUCUUACCAACAAGGACCUUCAGAACUACUAGCUGGCAGGACUAUGGAUAUUGGCUUGCAUCAUCAAGGACUGCCUAGUAUGUUCUGCAAUCUCCCCGCCCAGCUACCUGCUAGGAUUAUUCCCUAUAAAUAGGCAAGUAACAAAGGAAACCGUAAUCACCACUUACUACUAAGAACUCUCUCAAGUUCUCUUUUCUAUCCACUACUUUUGACUUAGGCAUGAGAUGCCCUUCGAUACAUCCUCACCCAGAUAUCCACGUGGACCCAAAAAUCAAGGCAUGCUAGCCAUCACUUGGAGGGUCACAAAGCCAUAAUAUAUAAGUGAUGUGUAAAAGUACAGAUACAUUAAAACCAAAGUCUAACUAAAAGUGCGCAUUGUAGGGUGAACCCUUAUUACAAAGCAUGCAAUGUCAGAGCAUAUUUAAAAAUGUAACACAAUUAAAGAAUAUUCUCAUUUGGAUAGGAUGGAUAUUUGUACGAAGUAACAUAAAAUAACUUUUUACAUAAUCGGAACAGGAUGUCAGCAAGUACCAAUGAUCCUCGUCUACACUAGAAUACAACUACUAAGUCCUACAGGGCGCAAAACAAAAAUAUGAGUGAGCAAAAAUAUAAAGAUUUUCUAAAACCUUUGUUUCUUGGAAUAUAGUAACCCCUCACACCCUAUCCACUAUUAUACUGGAUCACAUGUUAUAUUUGGACUUUUUAGUUAGUGCGGAUCUUGUCGCGUUUAGCCUUUUAGGUGUUUUUACAGUUAUGUUGAUAUUCAUAUCUUGUACAUGUCUCUAAUUUAUUGUUGAAAUUGUUUUAACGAAUAUCACUAUUUUUUAAGAACAUUAAAACAAUUUCACAUGAGAAAAUUCAAUUUAAUAAGAUUGCUAAGGAGACUCUCUCAAAGUGAGACUCUUCAUGGGCUCUCAGCCACCUCAUACUUUUGGCACAAUGUUUUACAAUGUUGGCACGAAAAUUGUGUAAAAAACAUGAGAUAACGGAGAGUCAAAAGUAAGAGUCUCCUUAGCGUUUAUAAUUUGAACAUUUAACAUUUUCCAAUAAAGUAGAGAUUAAAUAAUUAUUGGCAAGUCCUUAUAGAUUUUAAACUCAAGCACUCUUUUCGUAAGCAUUUGACAUCCUCCGCUUUUCUAAAAAGAUUAAUUUAAGGACGAGUAUCAUUUUUUUUCUUUUUUUUUUUUUUUUGAGAUCAAGGAGGAUCUUUAAGAUUUCUGAACUCCACUUAAACAAUUAAUUACACUUAAAUUCAAAUUUAAUCUCUCUGUCAUUUAAUCCAAGUGGCUUUGAGAAGUCUGAGGAUUCGACACCCAGAUGAUUCUUUCCAAAACAUAAAAGUCAAGAGAGUUUUGUCUAGUUGUUCAUUUGAUUUGAUUUCUCUUGUCCCUUUUUACCUUAUUGAGUUUUUAUAAGGCCCCAUAUACGUAUUUCAAUACAUUUAAGAACCAUUCAACUUCUGACGCAUGUAUACCUCCAACCCUUUUGGUAUGGAAAUGACAUAGUAUAUAGUCCCAUAUAUUGCAUUAUUAGGUUAAGCUGAGUCACUAAACCAUAUUUGUAAGAACUUUUAACAACCAUUGCUUCAAUCUUAAAGAGGGGUUGGAUUAGCCUUUUUUUUUUUUUUUUGAGAAAUGCUAAGGACACUCUCAAGUGGGACUCUUCAUGGACUUUCUGUCACUUCAUAGUUUAACAUUAAUUUUCGUGUCAACAAUAUAAAACAUUGUGCAAAAAACAUGAUGUAACGAAAAGUCCAUAGAGAGUCCUAAACAUAAGGGUUUUUAUCACAAAUGGUUCCUGAAAUUGACCAUCAUCAUCAAGAUAGUCCCUGAAAUUGAAAAUCAAUCAAUGUAGUCCCUAAAAAUAAGUGUCGCAAAUCAAUGUGGUCAUUCCAACACAAUUCUGUUAAGUGCUGAUGUGACGCAUAAAUGGGCCCUACAAGUCUUUUUUUUUCUUUCAAAUGGUCCUUGAAAUUGACCCAUGACAUCAGAAUGGUCCUUGAAAUUGAUCCGCGACAUUAGAAUGGUCCCUGAAAUUGAAAAUUGAUUAAUGUAGGUCCACAAGUAAGUGUCUCAAUCAAUGUAGUCAUUCCGUCACAAUUCUGUCAAAAAUUCUGUUAUGUGCUGAUGUGACACAUAAAUGUAUCACACAAGUCUAAUUAAAUUAAAAAAAUUACAAAUAGGGUUAAUAAUUUAAUAGUUAAUAAAAAAAUUGUCAACCUAACAACCUAGUCUUGCAAUCACCUCUGGUCCCAGUUCACAUUUCUCUACCUCUUUCGCUAUCUAUUCUCUAAAAAAAUCUCAAUACACUCAUCUUUACACACUUCGACUUCACUGAAUUGAACCUGGAUUGAGAUCACCUUUGGUGACGGCUUGGCCUAUUGGCAACGACUACUGGGACAUCACUGUUAACAUUUAGGCAAUCAACAUUCUCACAACUUAAUCUUGGAGACCAUGUUUAGCGCUUCCAUAAUGGUCCGGUGAUGCAAAGAACAACGAGGUCUGCCUUCAAAUAAUGAGGUUAUAGCUGAGGUGCAUCCAUUGUUGGUUGAAAACUAUUUCCACACCUCUUCUUAGGCCUUGGUUAAGCCUUGUGCCUUUGAGAAUUUAUGGAAGGAAUCUCUCUUCGGAGUAGGCCCUACUAUAAGGAAAAAAAAAAUCAGUUGAGCAAAAAGAUACUUAGACAACUUUUUUUUAAUUAAUUAUUAAACCCACAUCAGCACAUAAGAAAUCUUUUUACAAAAUUGUGGUGGAAGGAUUAUAUUGAUUUGCGACACCUAUUUUCAAUGACUACAUUGAUUGAUUUUCAAUUUCAAUGACCAUAUUGAUGGUGUGAGUCAAUUUAAGGGACCAUUUGUGAUAAAAACCCGUAAAAGUUGUGGGCCCAUUUAUGUGCCAGAUCAGCACUUAACGGAAUUUUAACAUAAUUGUGACCAAAGGACCACAUUAAUUUAAGACACCUAUUUUCAGGGACUACAUUGUUUGAUUUUUAAUUUCAGGGACCAUCUUGAUGAUGAGGGUCAAUUUCAAAAACCAUUUGUGAUAAAAACCCUAAACAUAAUGUGUUUCAUAGUGCACUUUAUAUAUACUUUUCCCUCAAUCAUGUCAUCCAUAUAUUUAUGCUUUUGGAUUGGAUUAUCUUUUCUUUUCUCUUCCCUUCCAUCUAUCAUGCCAUCCAUAUAUUUAUGCUUUUGGAUUGGAUAAUCUUUUCUUUUCUCUUCUCAAGUCAAUUUUCUAGUAGCUGUAUUUGCAAUGGAUUGACAUCUACAGCUCUAACUAGAAACUGCUUUGAGGAAAUAAAUAUGCGCAAUAUCUACAAGUUGAUCAGUUUAAGGAUAGAUGAGUUUGGAUAAAGAUGUUGAUAUUAUACUAUUUAUUUCUAAAAAAGCAUUGUCUUCGGCUGACAAUAAUGCUAGGAAGAUAUAUUUAAGCUGAGUUUGAUACCUAAUUGUAAGCUUACUUAUAAUGACAUAACUUUAUUGUAAGUGAAUUAUCCUGUUUUAAAAGUAUCGUAGCUUUGUAAAUAUACUCAUAACCUUGUGAUCUAGUGAUCAUUGCUGGAAAUCUAAAGUCAUGUCAUGUGAAUGUGAGGAAGGUAUAUAUUUGUUGCGAGUUCGAUAAUCGGUUUUGGCUAGCUUGUUCACUAGAUUGUUAAUUAGUUGGUAUGGAUUAAACAUAUUUUUUGAGUUUUUAUUUUAAUUUAACGAUAUAUGUAUAUUAAUGGGUGGGGAUUUUUGGUUAGAAAACAAAGUGGGCAUGCAAUAAUAUUUUAGUAUCGAACUCAUCAUCUACUGAUGUUAAACCCAAAUCUCUUACUUAUACGUAGAGAAAAAUACUAUUUGACCAUAGACUACUAAAUGACAUUUUCAAAGUUUUAAAACACAGAGGGCUUAAAAUCUUGUGUACAAAAUGUGGACAAUCUUCGUAUGCUCAUAAAUGCAUGGGUUUGGGAUGCUCUGAAAGUAACAACCUUAAUUAUAUACAUGCAUAUCCUUUUUGACGUACAUGCAUACACAGUUAUUACCAGAUGAAGCAAUUUUAGAAAGACUUUUAGCCUGGAAAUGAUGAGAUUUAUAUCUGAGGGCACAAAAAUAUUGCCCUUUAUGUAAUAAUUAAAUUUCUGGUGUUUGUAGUACUGUUUAAAGUCUAAAGAACACAGGCAACCACACACUUUAUAGUCAGCGAUUGUUAAUCAAUUAGAAGAACAACUAGAUUAUAAAGAUGAUAUAGAUAAUAUAUAUAUAUAUGUGUGCGCGCGCGCGCGCGCCAAAAAUAUAUCACCUCAUAAGGAAGGGUGGCUUUUCCUUUUGAGUGCAACUUUGCACCAAACAUAUACAUUUAAGAAGAAUUAUGUUAAAGCUGAUAUAGAAUAAGCUGCUUGCAUCUCGUUUUCCCAUUAUUAUUGGAUGAAUUGAUAAAAUAUAUCACCUCAUAAGGAAGGGUGGCUUUUCCUUUUGAGUGCAACUUUGCACCUAACAUAUACAUUUAAGAAGAAUUAUGUUAAAGCUGAUAUAGAAUAAGCUGCUUGCAUCUCGUUUUCCCAUUAUUAUUGGAUGAAUUGAUAUAAAUAUAAAUAAAUAAAUAUAUAUAUAUAUAUAUAUUCUUGAGUAUAUUACAUAAAACUAUCUCAACUAUUGGGUCAGUCACAGUUUCAUAUCUCAUCUUUAAAAUAUUUCAAUGUUAUACCUCAUCUUACAAAUUUGUUACAAUUUCAUACAUUCCGUCAAUUUGUCUGUUAAUUCUUCAAUUAAAUAGUAACGUGGCUUGAGACGAGAUCCAUUUUCUAUUAAAAAAUUAAUUAAAUAUUAAAUACUAAAAAAAUAAUAAUAAUAAUUUUUUUUGGCAUGGGGGACCCACCCCAUAUCCCCUCACCCUUCUUCCCCGCUCCCGUCUUCCCCAACCCAAAACAAGAACCACCCCAAACCCAAAUCCCAAAAAUGGCGACAUGGGUUUUGUUCAUUUGGUAUUUUUCUCUUACCCCUUUUGAUUUUUUUAGGUGCAAAGCUCGCCCCCAAGGUGGGUGUGAACUACGGCCAGCUGGACAACAACCUCCCACCAUCGUCACAAUUGGUGAAACUCAUCCAGUCACUCAAGGCCAAGCGAGUCAAGCUCUACGACGCCAACCCCAAAAUCCUCACCGCCCUCCGUAACACCGGCCUCCAGGUCUUCAUCAUGGUCCCCAACGAGCUCAUUAACAACAUCUCCUCCAAUUAAACGCUCGCCCACCAUUGGGUCCACACCAACUUUGUCCUCUCUGAUUUGGUACCUCCUCGUUGGAAACGACAUCCUCAGCCAACCCGAUAAACAGAUAUGGUAUAAUCUCGUACCCGCAAUGCGAACACCAAACAGUGUACUAGCACGGAGUGGAAUUUCGGGUUGUUAUACCAGAACGGGUUGCAUGUGUACCCGAUUGACUUGAGCGGGAAGACGUCUUUGUCGGAGUACUUGCCGUUGCCGACAGCGACAAAUAACAAGCCAUAUAAAAGGUCAAUUUGGUGCAUGGUGGCGAAGGGAGUGAAUAGGAGUGCGGUGGCGUAGACUCUAUCGUACGCCUGCUCGUGAAUAGGGCCGCCGUCGUAACAUUGAGGCACGGGGGGAAGCAGUGCGGUUGAAGAAGGUGGAGGAACGGGAGGAGAAGCUGGAAGUGAAGGAGGCGAAGGCAGAAGCAGACGAGAAGCUGGAGUGGAGGAGGCGAAGGCGGGUCAGAUCUGGGUUUUGGGUGGUUCUGGUUUUGGGUUGGGGGAAGACGGGAGCGGGGAAGAAGGGUGAGGGCGAUAAGGGGUGGCUCCCUCACCCCCAUACAAAAAAUUUUUUUUUAAGUUUUUAAUAUUUAAUUAAUUUUCAAAUAGAGAGUAGGUCCAUCUCAAGUCACAUCACUAUUUAACGGAAGAAUUGAUAGACAAACUGACCGAAGGUAUAAAAUUGUAACAAAUUCGUAAGAUGAGGUUGACAUUGGAAUGUUUUAAAGAUAGGAUAUAAAACUGUGAUUGACCCAAUAGUUGAGGUAAUUUUAUGUAAUUUACCCAUUUAUAUAAAGCCAACAAGUCCAAUGAAUACUGUUUUUUUAUGUCACAAGCUUCACCAAAAAAAAAAAAGAGGACAAAAAUGCCCCUCGAACAAACUUCAAAAGCAACCCAAAAUAAUGCAUCAUAUAUGACAGAGGUAUUUUCGUCAUUUUAAUGAUUAAUUUUUUUGUACAGAUUUUUUUAAUUAGUAACUCACAAUAGGUUAGCCAUAAUGUGAUUUAAUCAGCUGUUCAUUAAAUAUUAUUUUCUCUAUUUUUAAACACGUUCAAAAAAUUUUAAGAGGCAUGCAAUGCCGGUUAUAAAAAAGAUCUUUCGCAUGCGAAUAAUAAUGUAAUUAAAUAAUUGUCAAAUGAUUGUUUUAAAAAAAAAUGAUAUUAUCUACACUAAGGGAGAGGGAUUGACUUAGCCUCACAAUAGACUAGCAAUAAUGUGAUUCAAUAGUUGUUUAGUAAAUAUUAUUUUCUUUAUUCUUAAUGUAAAUUCUAUAGAUAUCGAUUUUAUUAUGUGGAUUCAGCUCAUUUAAUUGGUUUAUAAGAUUAUUCAUUUACUUCAAAUAUUUGACUUUCCUUUUGUCAAUUUACGCAUAUAAAUAUAUUUAAAAUGUGUAAAUCAUACGUAACACACCAUGAUUCAAAAAAUACCUUCUGCACCAUGAAAAAAAAUGUGCAUAACUUGAUUAAGAAAAAUAAUCACCGUUUCAUCUGAAACUAUUGAACUAAAAUGUGCAUAAUUUGAUACAAGACUUCCUGCCGACAGUGUAUGCUGAUACAUGGAGGUGAAUUGUCUGCCCUCCCAUUUUCAUACUCUCCUCAUGGCCUCAUGUGAUGUGUGGUUACGGUUAAGUCACGUCAAUAUUUUAUAUUAAUUUUUUAUAGAAAUAAUAAAAUAAAAAGUAAUAGGAUAUAAAAUGUUGACGUGGCUUAACCAUGACCACACAAACAGUAGAGCAUGGAUAGAGUAUAAAAAUAGGAAGGCAAACAAUCCACCUCCGCUGAUACAUACAUGCUUUAUUUUCUAAUUCCUAACUUAUAUAUCAUAGAUUGCAACCAGCAACUACAAAGUAUCGCAAUUUUUUUUUUCCUAGAAAAAGAUGUCAUCCGCCACCUUUUAUAGCCGGAUUCCCUUCAACUUAAUCCAUUUAAUCUGAAAUUCGGACCGUUCAAAUUUGAUUCAACGGUUACAGUUAUUAUCAUUUUAAAAAGAUCCUUUAUUUGUAAUCGUUAAAUCAAAUUUAAAUAGUUCGAAUCUUGAACUAAAUGGAUUAAGUGGAAAGAUAUCUGAAGAAUUCCUUUUCCCUUUUAUAUAUAUCAAUUCAAAUUGCAAAUUUUGACAUUGACAUUGCGUUACAGUACUAGCUAGUGGAUGUGUUUGAUUUGACGUAGUACAGAAACACUGCCAUAAUUAAUUUAAGGCUAAUCUCAAGUACAAUAAAGGCUACUUUAUGAGAUAAAAAUUAGAGAAUUUUAACGAAAAACAUCCGGUACUGUUCACUUUAACGAAAAAUUACAUUUUUACACUAAAAAGUCAAUCCUGGUACUAUUUAUUUUACCCUUUAUUUUGUCCUUAUCAUUAAAACUCAAAGUUUUCAAGUCAUUUUCAUUAGUUUUCCUUAAAAAUUAUGUAAUUAACAUUUUGGCCUUAGUCUUGUACUUAAACGUACGUCAAUUUUCCGGAAUUUCAUAUUAUAACCUUCUCAAAGAAAUUCAAAGUUCAAAAUUCUAAACCCAAACCGACAUACUUAUGGACAUAACAGUAGGCCUUAUAUCCACUAGCAUUUAUGCAUGCGUUCAAGAGUGCAAAAUGUUGACAAAUGAUUGUUUUUUUUUUAAGAAAUGGUAUUAUCUACACUAAAAAAAUAGGAUGAGCUUAGUUUUACAAUGGCUUAGUAAUAAUAUGAUUCAAUCAGUUAUUUAUUAAGUAUUAUUUUUUCUAUUCUUAAUGUAAAUUCUAUAGAAAUCAAUUUUAUUAUGUCAAUUUUAUUAUGUGAAUUCAGCUGUUUUAAUUGGUUUAUAAAGAAUUUCUUCUAGCAUGAUAUAAAACUAUUUAUUUAGUUCAAAUAUUUGACUUUCGUUUUAUCAAUUAACGUGGAUGUAUAUAUAUAUAUAUAUAUAUAGAGGACUUAAUUAUUGUGCAGCAGUGAUUUAUACACAAUAAUAGUGUAGCAUUGAUUAGUAAUUACUUAACCAGCAAGCAAGGAGUAUUAUAUGUCUGCAGGUACAUUACGUAUACCAAGCGAUAGUCACAUCGAGCUUUGAUUUGAUAAACUGAACUUUAGAGAGACUAUGGAGACUUUUUCAAAAAGUUCUCUCAAUCUAGGGUUCUUCAUGAAUUUACUGUUAUUUUAUAAUUUAACAUUAAUUUUUAUUUUUAUUUUAUAAAUUAUUAUGUAAAAAAAAUAUAAGAUAACAGAUAAUUUAUUGAAAUUCCUCUUAUCAUUUCUCUUGAACUUUUCCUGUUUAAGCUCCGUCAUUUAGGAAAUUUAGCUGACGUAGUAGUCCUGGCCACGAGGCAAUUAUAUAGACUUCCAAGUAGGGAUGAUAAUUGGUCGAAGAAGUGAUAGGUAUGCCAUUUUUAGCUCUGCCUCUGAGUAUAUAGGAAAAUAGGGUUUUGUUAGAGGGUACGUAGAUUGACUUGUCACUUGUCUCUCUUAUCUUAAGAGAGCUUAAUUGAAAGGACAAGGAUUGUCUGCCCUCCUUGUUCUCGUGCCCUUCUGUUUUGUGUGGUCACGGUUAAACCAUAUCAACAUUUUAUAUUACUAUUCAUUAAAAUGUUGAUGUGGUUUAAUCGUGACCACACAAAACAGAAUAGCACCAUUGGAGUGGGUUUGAGGGGUAAUUUGGCUUUUAACCCACCAUUGUAGUUGGUCUAAAGGAUGAGGAUCAUCUUUGGAUUCUUCUUUUUGUGGGAAUCCUAUAAAUCUUUAUAUUUUAAUUGUUUAUUAUACAUUGUACGGUCAAUUUUCGUUAAGUAAUAUUUAUGUUUAAUUUUAUAUAAAAAAAUUGAAUAUUUUUUACCGUACGAUAUACACUGAACGACUAAAAUUUAAAAAUUCUUAAGAUCCUUACCAUUUGAAUCCAAAUAAAAUCCAAUUCCCUCCAUAAAGCUUUUUCAAAUUGUGAUGAGCUUAUAAAAAACAAUAUAUCGUACAAAACAGUCGCAAACAACUAUUUGUGACUGUAACACAACGUAUUAAAAUUUAGUAUAGUACAUGUACAUAUAUUUCAAGGAGCAAUUAUUGCCACUUCAUGCAAAAAUCAUCAUAUAGUAAUCCUUGCUUGUAGAAAAAAAAAAAAAAAAACAAAACAAAAGCAAAAAAGUGUAUGACAACUAUAUUGGAAUGUCGCGAACAAUUUCCCUAUUUGAAAUAUAAAUCUAAAAUCAUUGAAAUUAUAAUACCACGUACCCAUCAUACUUAAAGGAUAGUAUAUUAUUUAUAUAUUCAUUUUUACCUCUCACGCACCCUUAUUAAUAUUUUGUCAUUGAUCUUCUUCAUUUCGUUCGAUCUGACGACAAAAAAUUAAGAAGAAUGUGUGAGAAGUAAAAAUAAGUGUAGAUAGCACUACCAUACUUAAAAAUUACUUGGAGAAGGCCAGCCUAGCAGAUGCUAAAGAUGAUCUCAUGGGUCUUAUAAUUUUAUUUUGCAAACUAUAAAAAGAAAAAGAAAAGAUGAAGAUAUAUGUUCUCUGUAUAAUCAACUAUGAUCAAGAAAUCAGAGAUUCUAUUAUAUUACUGCAUCUCUAUUAGAAGAUGCAAAUUUGAGAUGUAAAAGCUACAUUUACAUCUUAUUUUACAUUUUUAGGAGUAUAAUUUAGUUCUACUCUCAUGAGAGUGAUGCAAAUUUAGGAUCUCAUUUAUUUUUCUCUCUUUAACUGAUGGAGUUCACCGCCAAAAGAUGUUAAAUAUGUAAAUUUUCAUUUUAUUACAUCUUCUGGCCAAUAUUGGUGUUUUACAUAUCACCCGUUGGAGAUCAAAGCAUAUAAAUGUCAAUUUCAAAGCAUUUUGCACCUUCCAUUGGAGAUGCUCUUAUAUAUUAAUUAGAGAUCAAUAUUGUCAUAAGAAGAUUCUGCCAGUGCUAAAACCUUAAAGCAAGCGUUAAGAGGUGGAUUUUCUAUUUUGGUGUAACUAAUUUUUCUUCUGUAGCUUAAUCUGAUAUUAACGACAUAAUCGUACGUAGUGAUUAGGAAACCUUGGUAGCUAGCUAGCAGCCUGUGCCAACCUGCUUAAUUAGAAUACAAAUCUGCUUAAUCUAGUUAUGGUUAUAUAUAAGGCUUUUUAGCCAAAAUUGUCCCUGAGAUUUGCAUAACUAAAAAGAUUUCAAAUCAAUAGAAGUGGUCCCCGAGACUGUCCACCAUUCAUUAUUUUGGUCAUUCCGUUAAAAGCUCCGUUAAGUGUCCUGGAGCUCUUGGCUGGAAGUUUGGGCAAUUUUCAAAGCUUCUUAACUCAAUCGUUUUUUAACCAAAUUCGACCCAUAAUAUAUCCAAAUGAAGAUAGAAAAGUGUAGAAUAAGAUUAUACCUGGAAGCCCAAUGGUUGCCAGAGAUGGUCGGAAAAUAGCCUCAAAGUUGACUGAUCUGAGAGAAAACUAGAAAAUUCGCCGGAAAGUGGAUAAACUUUAAACAUUCAUAACUUCUUCAAUACUCAACGAAAUCAAAUGAUUCAAAAACAAAAAUCAUAAUUCUCGAUGAGAGGAAGAGAAUGGUACCUUUUCAACGGCUAACCAGCUGUGGUUUGGCCGAAAAACCGCUCGGAAGUGGCUAACUAGAGACCAAGACAGCCACUUUUGAGCCGUUUUCAGGCCAAAACACGGUGAUUUAGCUGUUGAAAAGAUACAUUCUCUUCGUCUUGUUGAGAAGUAUGAUUUUUGUUUUUGAAUCACUUGAUUUCGUUGAGUAUUGAAGAAGUUAUGAACGUUUAAAGUUUACCAAAUUUCCGGCAAGUUUUUCUGUUUUCCCUCGAACAAGUCAACUUUUAGGCUAUUUUCCGACCAUCUCUAGCAAUCAUUGGGCUUCCAAAUAGGUAUAAUAUUAUUCUACACUUUCCUAUCUUCAUUUUGAUAUAUUAUGAGUCGAAUUAAGUUAAGAAACGAUUGAGUUACGAAGCUUUGAAAAUUGUCCAAACUUCCGGACAAGAGCUCCAGGACACUUAACGAAGUUUUUAAAGGAAUGACUAAAAUGAUGGAUGGUGGACAAUCUCAGAGACCACUUCUAUUUAUUUGAAAUCUCAGGGACCAUUUUGACUAAAAAACCUAUGUAUAAUAAUGAUUAGAGAAGUUUGUACGUAGGCAGUAAUCAAAACCUACUCCACUCCACUUAGGGGUGGGCAAACGGGUUCUGGACCCGUGGGUCGGGGUGGAUCCUUAAGGUUCAGAGCGGGUACGAGGCAGCUCUAAAAAUUAUAAAUACAAAAAGGGACGGGCCGAGGCGAUUCCUGGUAAAUAAUAGGGUGGGCCGGUUCUAAAAGUUAGAGAAAAUGGGCCCCCGGCCCGAACCGUUCAUUACUAUUGUUUAUUACCCUUCUCAGGCCCAGGCCUUUUCGCUCAAGCCUCACCCUCACCUCACCCUCUUUCUCUCCCGAGUCCAGUUCGAGUCUCAUCCCCAGUCCAGUCCAAAUCUCCUCCCUCAUCUCUCGAUCUCUCUCGAUCUGCUUCAUCUCGAUCUCCUCCCGAUCUCCUCCAUCUCGAUCUCCUCUCUGUCGAUCUCAUCCUUCCCGAUCUCCUCCAUCUCGAUCUCAUCUCUAUCGAUCUCCUCCAUCUCUCUCUCUUUCCCACAGUCUCUCUCUCACCCGCCUUCAACCCAGCUGAACCCCUUUCUUCCUCUCGUCUUCCCCAAUUUUCACAAAGCACCACCGAAUUCUCGCAAUUUCACAAACCACUACCAUUGUCGCUGACUUCUUUAAUCUAAAUCAAGCGUGCUGCUGCAAAUGAUGAUUACGGUGAUGUUUGGCCUCGAUGUUGGUCUCAAAUGACUCAUCAACACCCAAGGUACCUUCUAGGCCUAUUGCAUGUGAACAUCUUAUUCAAAUUUGUGAAAAAAUCCGUUUAAAUUUAUGAGCUUUUGAGGGUUCUUCGUUUAACCUAUGGGUUUUUUUGACGUUUCUAUCUGAGAUUUAGUAUUUAUUUUCUAGAGUUUUUAGAAUACUUCGAUUAAAUUUGUGAGUUUGGUAGUGGUGUUUAUGAAAUGAUUGUUAGGUUUUAUGCGGCAGAUGUGAGGGUGGAGAGCUUCGAGGUGCUCGACAAGUGCAAGAGGAAGGUUGUGGUGAUGGCAAAUCCGACGGUGAUGGUGGAGCGGUUCUGGAUCUGGUCGGGCUGGGCUUGGCCGAAACGAUGAGCGAGUUGAAGAUCGGGAGGAUGAGAUGAGUGAGUGGACUCUGGGAGGCGAUAAAAAAUGGCCAAAAAACAGAAGAAAAAAAAUAAGGAGGACUCGUGGACCCGUCCCGAAAUGGCCCGUUUCAAACGGGCCGAGUUAGGUCUGGUUCCACUGAUCAAAUUUGUAAUAUCCGACCUGGCCCAACCCGUUUCCUAUUUAAGCGGGUCCGGUCCGGUCCCUCUAAAUUUGGGCCCGGCCCAAUCCGUGCCCACCCCUAACUCUACUUGCAUGGAAGAAAAUACUGAAAACCCUAAAUAUUAAAUAAAUAUAUAUAACCAAAAAAAAAUGCAUGCAAGUUUUAGUUCCUUAGUUCGUAAUAAACUGAUCAAGUACUAGUGAUAAAUUAAUUCGCAAAUUAUAUUAAUUAACUUCGUUGUUCACUAAAUUUUUUCCCAUCAUUUGGUUACAUGCAUAAAUUAAGUUGGUAUGUAUAUAUGUGUAGGGACCCAAAUACAAGAUAGCGUUGCUUCUAAGCAAUAUAUUAGGAAUUAGUGAUCAAUAAUGGUGACAAUAAUCACAUCUAGAGUAUACAGCUACCAAAGUCACCUUUAUUUUUGUUAAAGAAUGCAAUUUCAAAUCAAAAACUUGAAUAAACUACUACAACGUGAUAAUAAAUGGUUUCACUGUUUAUUGUACUGAGGUAUUUUUGUGAUAAAACUCAACAUCGAUCGAACUAUACAAUUAGUUAAGUUGGGACAAUAUUUGAUUGUAUUGUAGUGUGCUAGGGUGCACAGGUAAUUAAGUUGAAACAAAAUUUAUUUAAUUGGUAGUCAGCCUCUAACCGUACACUGAAAUGAAAGCUUUUAUAUAUUCCCUAUCAAGUCAUAAGGUGACAUGUAACUAAAGGCCCUAUUGUGUAUAUAUAAGUAACCAAGCUAAGUGCUCACAUACGUACAACUCUCUCUAGAUUCUCUAAUCUGUGUCCGUCGUCUCUCUCAUUUAAGCAUGUUUACAAUACUGAGUUCCUCCAAUAAUAUUGGAGAAGACAGAAGCAAAACACACACUUUCUUUCUAACCAUGUUCUUGAUCAUACAAAUCUUGCUGCCAUCAGCAGAAGCUAAUCAGGCUUCUUCACCAUCCCUUUUCUCCAAAUUCUCCAGAGCAGGACCAUCCAAAGAAGCAGCCAACAAUAUUGUAUCUUUGUGCAAACAUACCCCUCACCAGGCAGCUUGUGAAUCCAUUUUCAUCUCCAAAACAAGUAAUAUUACUACAAUUACUAAACCACCCCCUCAAACCCUUGAAGGCCUCCUUGUCCACUCAGUCGACUUCAGCAUUAUAAAGGCUCGUUUGGCUCGCGCUCUUGCCUAUAAUCUUACCAUUUCCCAUCGUCAAACCUCUCAUCAAACACACUCGCUUGGUGGCAUCAAUGACUGCCUCGAGCUGCUCGAGGACAGUAUCGAUUUACUUGAUAAUGUCAUACUCAAAUACGACAGUACCAAAAGCACCUAUGGCCAUGCUGACGACGAUAUCCAAAGCUGGCUCAGUGCUGCUCUUACCAAUCAAGAAACUUGUCUAGACAGCCUUGAGAGUGAUACGUCAAUGGUAGACAAGGGCGCUAUGGAGACUUCAGCUAAAAAUAUGAACCAAUUCAUAAGUAACUCUCUGUCACUUUUCAUGCUCACUACUAGGUCACCAAAGCAGGCCCAAAACAAAAACCCUAAUAACAUUGUCGGUGGCCGGAGGCUGUUGUCGGAUGAUUUUCCGAGUUGGGUGUCCGGCGCUGAGAGAAAGCUUCUAGAAGCUUCUGUGGGUGACUUAGAAGCACAUGCUGUGGUGGCUUUGGAUGGGAGUGGUACGCACAAGAGUAUCGGUGAAGCACUUGGGUUGGUGGCCUCAUUGGCUGAGAGUGGAGGAGGUGGCAGGUCUGUAAUUCAUGUAAAAGCUGGGACUUAUCAUGAAUAUAUUAAAAUACCAACGAAGCAGAAGAACGUUAUGUUAAUUGGUGAUGGUUUGGGGACGACGAUUGUUGUGGGCGAUAGGAACUCUGAUGAUGGUUGGACCACUUUCCAGUCUGCCACGGUUGGUAAGAACAUAUCAAACCUUCCUCUUUUUUAAGUUUUUUUUGUUUCUAAUUAAUAAGAGAAUUCCCUCUUCUUUGAUUUAUUUAUUUAAUAUGGCUUUUUUAUUGGGAACUUUAACGAAAAGCACCCGGUACUGUUCACUUUAACGAAAAACCAUAUUUUUACACUAAAAAGUCAAUCCUGGUACUAUUCACUUUACCCUUUAUUUUGUCCUUAUCAUUAAAACUCAAAGUUUUCAAGCCCUUUUCAUUAGUUUUCCUUUUUUUAUUCUGUCAAAUUAUAAAAUAUGUAAACUACCUAUUAACAAAAAAAAAAAAUUGUUAUAAAAAAUGAUGAGAAGACAAUUUAGUCCUAUAUCAAAAAAUAAAAUCAUAACAAGUAAUGUGUCGCACAAGUUCAAACCUUCUCCCCCUUUAAUUACUGUAAUCUUUUUGAACCUCCUUAAUAAUAAUAACUUUUGUAUUAAAAAAAAUCAAACUAUUAGAGAAAAAUUAAUAUUUAAUAACUGGUGCUAUUGUCACUCACCAAAAUUAUUUACAAAACUCACUGUUAAAUGAAAAUUAUUAUGAUUUUAUACUCGUUGAAAGAUAAUAUUAAAAAUAAAAUUAUAAAGAAAAAAUUAUAGGCUUUGCUACCACUCAUCUUAUUAGAACUUUUCUUUGACAAAUCUGGUUAACUGGUCUCCCAUCAUUAAGAGGCCAACUUUGGGUUGUCUUGUUGUGUCCGUGAGGGAGCAAUGGUAGCAAUGGUCUCGAUCGUAGCUCCCGCAUUACAGUGGGAGACCAAUCAACAUCGACGUUAGUUAGUCAGCUAAAUAUUACAUCUAAUCAUUCUUUUUAUCAUCAUUUAAAAAUUACAUCUGCAAAAAAUCAUUCAAUCUGAUAUUAUUUAUUCAUCUCUAUGUGUCAAACUAAUAAACGAUUUUGAUAACAAGUAAUAUCGUUGUGAUGAACCGUCCGUCAAUUUGUUUAAUGCAUACGAACAUUUCCGAUUAUGAAAUCCGUACGUCAAAAAUACAUUAAUCAUAAAUGGAGGAUGAGUAGAUUCUCUAUGAAGUAAAAACAAGCAUUAUUAUUCAUAAAAAAAAUAAAAAAGACAAGAAAAUAUCAAAAAGGGCAGUUCACAUGUCUAUACACUAACAUCAAAUAGAAAAGAAAUGAAAUCAUAAAAGGAAUGGUUGGUUCUAUUAAAAUUCUUUAUUUUCUUGCUUUAGUCCACCACCUUCCUUCGAUAUCCAUUUCCCUGAAUUAUAAUGUUAGAUGUGAUGCUCAUAAAGGAUGAUCAAGGUUUUAAUUUCGUGUUUCUUAUUUUGCUCGCAUGUACACCGCACACCCGCUUGGAAAUUCUCAACUUAUGGUUGUAAAGACCAACAUGAGAAAAAAGAGAUUCUUUCAUGCAUGAAUUAAACAUAAUUUCAUAAUUAUUCAUAACACAGAUGAUUAAACUCAUUAAUACAAUUUGAGACGAAAAAAUUACAUUUACAUUUUGGUAAAACAAAUUGUAAAUUUUUAUUUUUAUUUAUAUUUUACAACUAAAAUGAGUAUUUUACAUCCCCUUAAAAAUUGUACAUUGGAUAGUUGUUUAGGGCGAGGGAGAGAGAAAGUGGAGGAAAAAACUAUAGUUUCAUAUGGCUGAGUGAAGGAAAAAAAAACAUCAAAAACUUGUUUGUGCAAAAUUAUUUUAGUGACUUUCUUUUUUAUUUUUUUUAAUUUUCUUUCAGUUAUGUAUAAAAGGAUAUGGUUUUUUUUUUUUGGACAAAAAGAGUCAGAAGGAAAAUUUUCUCUUACUUAAUAAAAAUUGCAUGUCCUCAUGGCACAUAGUAACAUGCAAACAACCGUGUUUUCAGCUGCUAUGGGAGACGGCUUUAUAGCUCGUGACAUAACGUUUGAGAAUAAUGCCGGUCCAUCAAAGCACCAAGCGGUUGCCCUCCGAGUCGGCGCUGACAAGUCAGUGAUUUUCCGAUGCUCCAUCGUCGGUUACCAAGACACCCUUUACACUCACUCCAAGCGCCAGUUCUACAGAGACACCCAAAUCUACGGAACAGUUGAUUUCAUAUUUGGAAACUCAGCAGCAGUUUUCCAGAACUGCAACAUUUACGCAAGAAAACCCGCUUCAACCGGUCUCAAAAAUUUUGUCACAGCACAAGGUAGAACCAGCCCGGAUCAGAACACUGGAAUUUCGAUUCAUAACUGCAAAAUUUCAGCUGCUUCGGAUCUUGCUCCGGUGAAAUCCAAGUACGAGACGCAUCUUGGAAGGCCAUGGAAGCAGUACUCAAGAACAGUUAUCAUGCAGUCUUACUUGGAUGACUCAAUUAGUAAGGCUGGUUGGUCACCUUGGUCAGGUGGGUUUGCUUUAAACACAUUGUAUUAUGGUGAGUAUUCAAAUUAUGGGCCUGGGGCUUCAACUUCGGGUCGGGUCCGGUGGCCGGGAUAUCAUGCAUCACUUACACCGGUUGCUGCACAAGGCUUCACUGUUAGCGGUUUCAUCUCUGGGAACCUUUGGUUGCCUUCCACUGGGGUUUCUUUUGAUUCGGGACUUCAUUAAAUGAUCGUGAUAGCGGUUUUCAUACUCAGUUUAGCUUUUGACACUUCGGUUGUGACGUGAGCGUACAAAGUAUAACAUACUCAAUUUAAAUGUGAGAAGCUAAACUAAGAGUGCCAAAAUUACUACCUUAUGAAGGCGUUGUGCAUUUGUAUAAAGUUGUAUUUGUGUUUGGUUAGAUGUGAUCUGAAACCAAAGGGCUUAUGUGAUCGCAGGCCUAUUAUAGUUAUGUUGUGUGAUCUUAGUGUUUUUGGCCUUCGAUCCCCUUGAAACAAGCAAUAGUUGUGUUACUAUUCUUUAAGUUUAAAAAUCCACUUGAAUAGAUUGGUGGUUAUGUAAGUUGUGUUGCUUUUGGUGAAUGCAAAUUCACUUACAAAUAACAACGAUCUUCGUCGUAUAAAUUUUACAAAUAGAACUAUUACAUAAUAGGAGUUUAAAUUGUGGGUGCAAAGAAAUUUCUCAAUAACCGAAACGACAAUUUCCUCAAUGUUGUGAAAUCUUUAGAUAAAUGUCUUAUAUUUUCAGUAUGAGUAAGUAGAAAUAUAUCUGUGUUGUGAUUAAUGAAUCCUCCACUAAUCACUAUUUGUCAAUCUUAAGCUAGAAUUUAUAAAUAAAUUAGUAGUGACUAGGGACCAAUAAUUCCAUAAACAAAACUACAAACAAUCCAAUAAACAAUUUGCAUAGUUGGUGAUGACGUAGUUUUUAAUACAAAAAAAUAAAUAAAAUCACAUAAGAAAAUUUAAACUUAUAGAUUUGAUUCCGCCGGCGUAUAUUAUCAAGGAAGGGGAUCCUCACCAGACCAUUUGUGGGGAUUCUAGAAAUCUCUACAUUCUAACCGUUUAUUGUACAUCGUGCAGCCAGUUUUCAUAAGAUACUUUUUGUAUUUAAUUUUAAAUAAAAAAAAUCAAAUAAUUUCUGACCGAACGAUAUACAAUAAAUGACUAAAAUGUGAAGAUUCUUAGGAUCCACACAAAAUAGAUCCGGGAUCCAGUUCCAUUAUAAAGGACAAUACUUGAGUCCUGAUUCAUCAGAACGUGGCACAGUAAAAGGGAGGCAUGUGUCUUUUUAACUCUCCAAAUACCUAACCUUGCAUUCUUUGUUUUGAUAUCAACCAGAAAAAAACUGAAAAACUUCCUGUAAAAUACAAAAAACUAAAAAUAAAGGGAAAAAAGGAGGAGGAAGGAAAGUAGGGAUGGAAAGCCAAGACCAAGAGCACAUUGUGAUGCUGCCAUUCAUGGCUCAGGGCCAUCUCAUACCAUUCCUGCAACUGGCAAGAAAUCUCCAACAGAGAAAAAGCUUGAUCACUGUCACCGUCGCAAGCACCGCCCUCAACAUCCAAUACCUCCGCACCACGAUCGCCUCCAACUCAAGCUCUCAAUCUGACUCCAACAUCCGCUUGGCUGAGCUAUCAUUCUGUGGCACAGACCACGGCUUGCCCCCGAACGGCGAGAACACAGAGAACUUGCCUAUCAGCAAAAUAGGAAACCUAGUUGCUGCAUCAACAAGUCUUGAAGCUCCUGCUCGCCGCCUUAUCUCUGAUAUCAUCGAAAAAGAAGGCCGCCCGCCGCUCUGUAUUAUCUCUGACAUGUACUUUGGAUGGGCUGCUAAUCUUGCAAACAGCUUUGGAACUGCGCAUGUGACUUUCACCACAGGUGGUGCCUAUGGCACUGCAGCUUUGGUGUCUAUUUGGCUUAACCUCCCACACCGUUCUACAGCUUCGGAUGAGUUCCCGGUGCUGGGGUUUCCUGAGAGUUACCGCUUCCAUAUCUCUCAGCUGAAUCCAUACUUAAGAGCUGCAGAUGGUACUGACUUUGGGUCAAGAAUUUUUCAACCUCAGCUUUCGCUUUCUACGAAAUCCUUUGGGUGGUUGUGUAGUACUGUUGAGGAGAUUGAGCCAGUUGGAUUGAAGAUCUUGAGGAACUACCUGGGGCGUCCUGUAUGGUCCAUCGGACCUCUUCUUCCUUUAGAAGCACUCAACAACUCAUCUACUUUGGCCUUAAGUGUUUCAAGGCAACGCGCCGGAAAAGAAUUCGGCAUACCUCCUGAAGCAUGCCUGGAAUGGCUUGACUCACAAUGUUCGGAUUCGGUUGUUUACAUCUCAUUUGGUUCUCAAAACAGUAUAAGUUCAAACCAGAUGAUGGAAUUAGCUCUUGGGUUGGAAGAAAGUGGAAGGCCUUUUAUUUGGGUAAUAAGGCCUCCGGUUGGAUAUGAUAUGAAGGGUGAGUUCCGAGCAGAGUGGUUGCCCGAGGGGUUCGAAGAUCGAAUGAGUAGAGGAAAACAAGGGUUGGUGGUGCACAAUUGGGCACCCCAGUUGGAGAUAUUGUCACACAAGUCGACGGGUGUGUUUGUUAGCCACUGCGGAUGGAAUUCAGUGAUGGAGAGCUUAAGCCAAGGGGUGCCAAUGAUAGGGUGGCCAUUGGCGUCCGAGCAGGCAUUUAACUCGAAGAUGUUGGCGGAGGAGAUGGGCGUGAGCGUCGAACUUACAAGGGGAUCACAGAGUGUUAUUGUUGGGAAGGAGGUGAAGAGACUGAUAGAUUUGGUGAUGGAGAAAAGUGGCAAAGGAGGGGAAAUGAGGAAAAAAGCGGGUGAUAUUGGGGAGCAGAUAAGAGCAGCAGUAAGGGAUGAGGCAGAAGACAAGGGAUCGUUUGUUUUGGAAAUGGAUGAUUUUCUUGGCACCAUUUUAGCAACUAGAAGAAAAAAUUAGCACAAAUAAGUUAUGUACUUCCUAAACCCUAAAGUGAAGGUUUCUUAGAGCAUGUUUACUUGAUAAAAAUAAAUGGGUAUACAAAUUAUUUCACUUAUUCAUAUGUGGAAUCUGUGGACAAAAGUUACUCUAGGAAUAACGAGUUGAUCUUCCCCAAGAGCUCGCAGCGACAGCAAGGUUUGGCACCUCAAUGUCGGCUCUUCACCACUUGAGCAUGUAUUAUGUUUCAAGGGUUGGGCUAGAGCCACCACUUGGGCAUAUAUUAUGUUUCUAGGGUUGGGCUCUUUGCCCAUUAAAGCGGUACGUGAGCUGAUUUCAAACAUCGUGAGACAAUUCAGUCCAUAUCCAAUGUGAUAUACGAGAACAAAACAAGAAUUUGCCAUAUACUGAUGAGACUUUGAACUCAAAUUUAGUUGUCCAUAACUGAUAUACGAGAACAAAACGGUUCAUAUAUUGCAUAUAACAACUUACACAGACGAUGCAUUUCGACGAUGGAAAAGAAUAGAUUUCAAAACCCAGAAAGUAAAUAACUUAAGUAUGGCAACAAAUCAAUCAACAGUUUACACAUUCUCACAGAUAUGCAUCUUCACGAGCGAGGUUCCAAGUAAUCCAUUAACAUCUACCUUCGACGCCUUUUUAUUAAUACUUCACCUUGUAGAGAAGACGGGUUUCGAUUUUCCUUCUGAAUUUCUAAGCUGAUGGAAGAAGAAGAUGGCUUUGAUAGGGCAGGCAACCUAACACGAUAUAGAUCUCAAGAAGAUGCAGUAACAGCAGGCUGGAUUGGGUUAAAUGCAACCUGCUCGGCACAAGUUAACACUUCAUGAGGCCCUGCCUCGUCUCGGUUGACACCCAUAAGGUCCAGGUAGUACUGGUAAUGUGAAACGAUGUUGUUCAUGGCAUCAAUGUCACCCUUGCCACAAACUGAUUCCCCAUAAAGAAUAUUCAUUGUAGCCAAAUCCAGGAAACCGCUUACUCAAGGUAUCGUUCUUGGUAGGCUUCCAGUCUCCAACAAAUGCUUGGUGGGCCGAGGGUUGUGACUUCUUGAUAGGGGUCAUCCACCUCCAUACUGCAGCUUGGAAAGCAAGAGUAGCGUUCUGCUCAAUGUAUUCUGGAUGGUUCAACAGAUCCACCUUCAAAGCGUCUCCAGCUGCACCGUAAUUGUAGUUCCUAGAUGGUAGAACCAAUGUUAAAUUAGUAACAUUGUCUAUUCAAAGAACUCAAACUACAACCUCACGUAUCUUCUAGAACUUCAGAUGUCACGAGAUUUGAGGAAAAAACAUAAAUGUGACAAUAGCUAGACUAUGGAACAAACUGACAUACAACAACAAAGGCUUAUCCCACUAAGCGGCGUCUGCUGUAUGAAGACAAAUAUGUCUGACGAUUCUGACUGCAAAACAACUCCAUCUAGUUUCCGCCACAAGUAAAUUACUAGCUUGCAGUAUGUAUCAUCUAAUUUGUGAACUUGCUAAGAUGGCAUUAUACGAGUAGACCAAUGAAUUAAUCUCAUCUAACGAUAGCUCGCUCUACUUUACAACACAACUGACAUCAUCUUUGGUUAAUUUAUUUGGUAAACGAAAGCUCAGACAACUGAAUAUUAUGAAAGGAAAUCGACAUAAACCAAUGAUAAAAUAGAUGGAAUACA
This 41727-nucleotide long non-coding RNA is filed under the name Malus domestica (apple). RNAcentral describes it as "long non-coding RNA (MDOM_LNC003530)". The stretch from base 40193 to 40425 matches the Rfam family "Bacterial large subunit ribosomal RNA", at positions 2087 to 2636 of the family's 2925-position model. Lineage: Eukaryota; Viridiplantae; Streptophyta; Magnoliopsida; Rosales; Rosaceae. The record is from RNAcentral.